GUUUAAACUAUUAAUAAUUCCUAUGAGGAAUUGAAAC
This is a non-coding RNA of Stanieria cyanosphaera PCC 7437, 37 nucleotides long. Lineage: Bacteria; Bacillati; Cyanobacteriota; Cyanophyceae; Pleurocapsales; Dermocarpellaceae. The record is from Rfam.